UCUCUGGAAGACGUCUUUAAGACAUCUUAAAGAUGUCUACUACAAGACGUCUUGUUAAUGCCUGACACAAGACGUCUCUUAAAUGUCUACUACAAGACGUUUUGACGAACUUGCUCGAGUGCAUCCGAUUGCAGUGAAAACAUUUAAUUUCGUUUAUUAAAUCGUCUAUUGCGGUUAGUUAUACACUGUAUUUAGCUGUUUAGUUUUUUUUUAAAUUUGUGAAUUUACGAUUUAUACAGAACCGAACACGAAGCGAAUAUGUGCAAGUGGUAAGCUAAACAAACAUCAUAUAUAUAUGAGGGGCCACCGAAAGACAGAAAAUUUACAAUUCCCUUGAGUUCGGUCAGUGGUGACAUCGUUUCACAGCCUGGGUGCAGCUCAAACAACUCAACGUUGCAAGUGCAACAAGUGAACCAAUCACUAAUCCUAAUGUCAAUGACAGUAGUGAGUUUUUAUGUCAUAAUUCGGAUACUGAUUCCAUAGCAGACGACAAUGAAUUUGAAGGUUAUCCUACUUAUGAUCGUUAACAUUUUGCAGUAUAUAUCAAAGCAAUUAUUUGUGACGCUCCUGCAAAAUCAUAUGUAAAAUAUAUUAAAGGGUCUAUUUUCAUGACAUACAUAACCUACGUAUAAGGAGAGAUUGUGACUUCCGACAAAAAACUGAUGACAACCAUUAUACUGGGAAGCCAAUUUUAGAAAAACUACCCAAACUUGACAUGAUCAAAUCUUUUCCGUUAGACUAUAUGCACUUGGUUUGCUUGGAUGUUACUAAAAACUCUUGUUAUUAUAGUGUUGUGGUAAACCUUCAACAAAAUUAUCUUCUAACAAAAUAGCCUGUAUUUGAUAGGCAAAAUACAAAAAAAUAAUGAAAUAAAAA
Long non-coding RNA from Dendroctonus ponderosae (mountain pine beetle), 876 nucleotides. RefSeq lists it as uncharacterized. Lineage: Eukaryota; Metazoa; Arthropoda; Insecta; Coleoptera; Curculionidae. The record is from RefSeq and is a predicted model, not a curated record. The transcript has 2 exons.